RNAcentral lists this transfer RNA (71 nucleotides) under Danio rerio (zebrafish). It matches the Rfam family "tRNA". Rfam says of the family: Transfer RNA (tRNA) molecules are approximately 80 nucleotides in length. Their secondary structure includes four short double-helical elements and three loops (D, anti-codon, and T loops). Lineage: Eukaryota; Metazoa; Chordata; Actinopteri; Cypriniformes; Danionidae. The record is from Rfam by way of RNAcentral.
GCAUUGGUGGUUCAGUGGUAGAAUUCUCGCCUGCCACGCGGGAGACCCGGGUCUGAUUCCUGGCCUAAACA